GCCCGUACUGGCAAUCGGAGGGAGAGAAGAGAUGGGAAAAGUUGGUUUAGCGCCAGUUAUUGGGAUGAUGAUGGCAGAGUGCGCUCAAGUUGGGCUGAUGUUUGCCGGCAAAGCAGCCAUGUCUGAUGGGAUGAGCAACCUGGUCUUCGUUUUUUACUCCAACGCAUUCGCCUCUCUCGUUCUCCUCCCCGCUUCACUUCUCUUCCACAGGUUACUUAUCCUUCGUUAAUCUCAAAGAUCAAAGCUUCUCAUGUUUUAAUCAAUUCAUCAUCUCUAUGCAGAUCACAAAUUCCUCCACUCACUUUGCCUAUUCUAUCUGCUUUCUUCCUACUUGGCUUUCUUGGGUAUGCUAAGUUUUACUUCUUUGACCUUGUGGCUGGUUUCUUUUUGUUUGAUUAUAAUAAAUUUUCUUGCUUUUACUCAUUCACAUGCGGCAUAUACUGUGUCACAGUGUUAGUAAUAAUCAAAGAUGUUGUUUGUUAAAGGGUUUGUUGUUUUAUUUUACUUCAAGCAGUACUUCGUCUCAGUUUUUUGGCUACGCUGGGAUUUACUAUAGCUCACCUACACUUUCCACGGCUAUGCUUAAUCUUGUUCCGGGUUUUACCUUCAUUCUUGCCAUCAUUUUCGGGUAAUGUUCCCCCCUUUGCUAUGAUCAUUUUGACUUUCUCUUGAUUUUGUUCAUUGGAGUCUGUUUAGGAAGUUUAUGUUACUGAUGCAAAUUAAUUGCAACCAAUAAUAUAAUCAGUUCUCUUUCUCUUCAUUUGUAUGAGUGUCUGAUUCACUACUUCAAUUGCAUAAUUAACUUUUGUGAGCCCCAAUUAUAGGCUUGCAAUUACAUAUUAGACAUACUGCUGAAAUUUGCUAAGAGUGUAUUCCAGUUACAAAAUAAUGAUUAUCCAGUCUGAUUCGUGGAUUAGAGUAGUAUGCUAUUUGUAAUUAAUCCACCAUGCAAGGACAAAUGGGUUCCUGUCUUUCCCUCCUUAAUUAUUCAUUCUUUCAGACAUCAAUACUUGAUGUGGAAAAGGUUUUGCACCCAAUCAAUCAGUGACUGCAGUUUGGAGUUAGCGAAGGAAUUUCAAAAGAGCUGCUGAUAAUUAGACAGAUCUAAUGUUAUUGCUGAAGUUGCACUAUGCCUUUUAAGCUAUUAACAAGGGGCUGAUGAGUAUGAGGUCACAGAUAAGCUGAAAUCGCUAUGUUGGUCUUGCAGCUUAGACAAUAUGUCCUUAAGGGAGAAGAUACUCAAGCUCUUGUUCUGAUUCUGACCCAAGCUUUACCUAUACUGUUCUAGAAAACCAAAAUCCUCUUACUAUUCUGUUAACAUACCUCUUCUCCAUUCCUAUUUAUCUUACUACACUGUGGAUGUGGUACAUGCCCCCUCCCAGUUUAUUAAAAUGAAAAAUGCAUGUGUGGAUAAUCUGCCCCAAAGAGUUAUAAUCAAUUCAGCACUGAACUUAAAGGAACCAUGAUAUGUGAUGUCUUCCAUUCCUUAAGUCUGUUGCAAGAGAUUUGCUUGCUGUAGAAUUAAAGUGGCAAUGCAGGUGGGUCUGGCUUUUAAAGUUUCGCGGCCUUCUCCCUUCUAUUGCAAAUUUGGGAAUGUAAUAACAUCGAGGAGAAUUAUUUGAUCUGCUGCCUCAGCUGAUGAAAUAUAAUAGGUCUGUAUGUGCAUUAGCGCUGAUGUUGAAUUUGCAAUUACUGUUUAGUUAUGGUCAUGAGACUCAUGACUCAAUUAUUGAUAGAUAUUGUUAUCUUUGAAAUACUGGCAUUUAGGCAUUAUGGUUUCUUUCCUUAAGAUGGUCUUCAAGGACAUUAUUUAAGGGGGGUUAGUUUUGCUACUAAUUUAGUGACUUCUUCUGUGUUGCUAAUAAUUUAGAAACAAUGACACAGCCACAAACUCUUUUACUAACAAUCGUUUUACAAACUGAUGCGGCAUAACAUGAUUUGUUGAAUAAAAUCACCACGUGGCUCCAUUAAUUAUUUUUAUUAUUCUAUAUUUUCAUUCAAACAAUCAUAUUGUGCCACAUUAGUUUGUAUAAAAAUAGUUUGUGGUCAUAAUGUUACUCCUAAUUUAGUGGAUUCUUUUGUUGCCCAAAAUCACAUCUUUUUGUUUUUUCUUAUUUGAGCUCCUCUGAUAGUCAUAUCAUCUGAAGAGUUCUUCAGCGACUGGAUGGUUGAGCUACUUUUAGUUUCCUUUCUCUGUCAGACUUUUCUAUCUCAAAAAGUUUUGACUCUUGUUUUAAUUAAUGAAUGUGCUAAGUAUGGUAGAAAACUUUGGAACAGAAAAAGACUCCUAAGUUGCUUAGAGUGAUAUUUUUAUUGCUACUGAUGGAUAUAAAAUGAUUCAACUUGGUGAUUUCAGGAUGGAAAAACUAGACUGGAAAAGCUCCAGUAGCCUAGCCAAAUCAGUGGGAACCAUAGUGUUAAUUACAGGGGCAUUUAUCAUGGCAUACUGUAAGGGACCCCACCUUCUGAUGACAUCUUCGCCUCCAAACUUGUCCCUUCAAUUUUUCGUGCCGCAAACAAACUGGGUCAUUGGUGGAUUGCUCCUUGCCAUUGAUUGUGUGUUCACUUCAGCAUGGCUCAUUGUACAGGUUAGAUUCUUACGAAAUAGCGAGAGUGAAAACCAGUUAUAAGAUUGAUGUCUUUUUCGUAUAUUUCAGGCCUCAAUCCUUAAGAAAUUCUCAGCUGAGCUGAUCGUCGUCUUUUUUUACUGCUUCUUUGUGGCCAUUCAAUCUGCAAUACUCUGUUUGGUUAUGGAAAGAGACCUAAGUAGCUGGAGCUUAAAACCUGGUGUGAGGUUAGUUGCUGUGCUAUACUCGGUAAGUAGAAGUAAAAAGAAAAAGAAUGUUUUAUCUACAUGCUUAAAUUAUAUUCACUUUUUGUCUUGAAACCUUAAUAUGGAAAAUGCAGGCUGUUUUUGGCUCUGCAUUCCAAGUUGGUGUUUGUACCUGGUGCCUGCACAGAACUGGGCCUGUAUUUGUAGCUAUGUUCAAGCCCUUGGGUAUUGUAAUUUCAGCUGUGGUGGGCACCAUCUUCCUAGGAGAGACAGUCUACCUUGGGAGGUACAUUUUUUUUUAAUUUUGGGUGGUGUUUUGACUUGUAUAAGAAGUUUUGUUUGAACAUGUUACUGGUCAGAUUUCUCUUAUUUCCUGUCCUGAUUUUCUCCUCCUCUUCUAUUAUAAGAAAGUGAUCAUUCCAUUUUUAAUGUAAUGCAGAUUUAUUGGAGCAGCUGUAAUUGUUACUGGUUUUUAUUCUGUGAUGUGGGGAAAAGCCAAAGAAGGGAACUCAGGUGUGGAAACUGGAGUAAGAAGCUUAGAAUCAAGCAGCCAAAAGGACCCCCUCUUGCAAAACAACUUUGAAGAAACAUAAAAGUUUUGCAAAAGAGAAAAAGGCCUACAGAAAAAAAUUGGUAAUUUUCACCAUCUUUAUCUGGAAAAUAGAAAGAGGAAAAUGUUUAGGAACAUUUAUCUGGAAAGCUACCUCUGUGCAGAAAUUAAGGUUUGAGCUUAAAAUGGACUUGGUUUUGCUUAUCUUGAGGNNNNNNNNNNNNNNNNNNNNNNNNNNNNNNNNNNNNNNNNNNNNNNNNNNNNNNNNNNNNNNNNNNNNNNNNNNNNNNNNNNNNNNNNNNNNNNNNNNNNAAGUGGACCAGCUCUAGAUAGCUUUCAUCAUUCAUCCUUUAAAAUGUUCUACCUUUAUAUAGACAGUCCUACAGCAUUUAAUCCAUGACCUAUGAUACCACUUCAACCAUAUACAUAUUUCUUUUUAUUAGAAAUUAUGGGUCAACAUGCAGAAUGUGAAGAUAAUUUCUGUUAAUUUUUGGCGCCUCUGUUCAUGAGGAGACAAUUAAUGCCUGUCUAUCCUUUCAAGUUAUUGAAGGAAUGGAUUAUAAUCUUCUCUACAUGAAACAUUUUUUUUUGUUUAAUUUUGUUGCCAACGCAUUGAAAACCUUUUGUGUAAUGCUUCCUGUGAAUUUGUCAUACAGAAGAUCAUAUUCGAUUUAUUUUAUUUAAGACAUUUUCAAGUUCAACUUCCGAUUAUUAUUGUUAUUGUUAUUGGUAAACCUGAAGGUGGGCAAGAAGACUAUCAAGAGUAUGUAAAUGCGAGUGACAUGAAGACUUUGUUUUCAAUUGUAAUAUUGAGUCAGGAACAUGGGCGGCACCAUCAAGUUUGUGACGCUGCAAAGAAAAGUUGAGCUUUGGAGUUGGUCAAAACUCAAUCAAUCCUGCUCUGCAUGGAAAAGAUUGUUGUGACAGAUUAAGGAAAGUACAGCGCUAACUCCUAUGACUCAAAUUACUCUCUCAAGUGUAAUUAAGAAAAUGAAAGAUUGUUUAUGUAUUCAUAUCUCAUUAUUCCAGACAAUUUAUGCGAGUUUGACUUGCAGGCACAUGCGAAUGGAUAUGCUUUAUGAAGAAAAAUCAAAUGCAUUUCUUAUGAGUGAGUUUCAGUCUCUGAAAAUAUGAUAUUCAACCACUGAGCCUCUGAUUCAGAACCUAAAAAACUUUGUUAGUCGGUACUGGUGUCAAAGGAGAAUGCUUUAGCUGGCACAUUCUAUACACCAUGGAGAUCCAAUCCUUUUCAUAUUCUUAUUGUGAGGGUCAAAGCCUUUGCUAAGAUAUCACAGCAACUCCCGAUGUCUGAUGUCAAGUGAAAGCGCAAAUUCUUCUGUAGAGUCGAUGGAAAAAAACAUUAAAGAUAAAAAUGAAAGCCUCUUGCAAGCAGUCCUUUUUGAGAAUUCCAAAAGCAUUUUCUGAUGCUAGUGUGUGCCGGUUGCCCGUGAUGUUAACUCUUUUGAGAUAAACAAGUGCCAUGCUCUUCUCUGUCCCCGGCAUGGAGCGUGAUCUACGAAGUUCAAUCACCUUUGAUGCAUUGAGCCAGACAGAACCAGACAUCACUAAAUGCCACCAACCGAAAGGAGAAAUUAAACAACGAAGCUAAUUAAUGCUCAUGAUCUAAGCUUAAUUAUAAUGAAUGGUUAAGAUUUAUCAAAAGUUAAGGAUUGAUCAUCAAUUAAUUAAUUAAUUGACUCUUUUGCCACUGAACUUGUAACUAGUGAUAUAAUCAUAUAAAAGUAUGAGUUCGAGUUUUAGAAGGCUCACUGUUAACCUUCGACUAAAAGAAGAUAUCUAUCUAAAUAUUAGUGAGAGAGAAUUUUUAAAUUAAUGUAUAAUAGAUUUUUGAACUGUACUGAAAAAUGUGUGUAUAGAGAGAAAGGGGACUGUAACAGAAUCCGGUUGACAAUAUACGUGUAAAUUGUAAUAAUUUGAAAAACAAAAAAAAAGUUAAUUGAAUAUUUUCUUGGACAUUAAUUAAUGCAACAAAUUAUGGGUCCAGCACACGGGGCUGUGUGUGAUUCCAUCUAUGCACACUUCACUGUGUCCGGCAUCAAGUAUCAAAAAGAAAAGAAGGCUUGCGUAUCAGCACUAAUACAAAACAAAAGUUGAGUGGGGGGCCAAGACCUUUCAAAAUAAUCGAUGAGGGUAGGGACAUUGUUAAUGUCCACCACAAAUCGUCCCUCAAGAAAGUACAAAACAUGCAUAUACUGGCCCCGCACUUAAUUUAAUUAGUCUUGAACAUGACCAAAUAUAGUAAAAAUAUUCACGAUUAAGGGCAAGGACAAAUCAGAUGAAAACAUUCACGUCACAUUAUUAUUAAUCUCUAAUUAAUUGCUUAAGUUUUAAUAUUUUUUUACCAAACCACGUCGGCUUAUUCUCCCUUUGCAUAAAGAUUGAGUCACUAAAUCGAGUAGCUAUUUCUCGUACAAAGACAAAGUAGCUUCACAACUUUCUGAAAGGCUAUCUCUCUCUGUCAUUCUCCAAUUCUCAUUGUGGAAGCUCUUAGUUGGUGCAUUAUUUUUUGACUGUAAAUUAUAUCAGCAGUCAGCUAGUCAUCAGCAGGCUCCUAGCUAGAUCAAUUCCUUCACUCAUAAAUAUAUACGAGAGAGAUAGCUUGUUGUACAUGCUUCAUUAGACAAAUUAAUUAAAGAGUGAAAGAUAACAGAGACACAUACGAUCGAAUUAUAUAUGAUGGGACUAGUGAGAGGACAAAUGGAGGAGGAAAUGGUGCCAUUUACAUUGAUGGUGAUAAUGGAAGGUUGUACAAUAGGGCUUACUAUAUUGACCAAAACGGCCAUGAAUGGAGGAAUGAGCCCUUUUGUUUUUAUUGCCUACACAAAUGCUCUUGGAUCCAUUCUUCUUCUUCCUUGUUCCUUCUUCUUUCAUCACCGCGGGUCUGAGGCUGCGGCUGGGGGGAGGUUGUUACACAAUAAUCACCCCUCUUUCUCCUUUUUAAUUCUUCAUGUUCCAUGUACAACAUAACAAUAAAUUUAAUUUAAUAAUAUUUCAUUAUAUUAAUAUAAAUAUCGUCGAUCGUCUGCCAUUAAUCUUUUUAAAUUAAUUUUGCUUGCUGCAGAAUAGAGCAGCCACUCUUCACCUUACCUCUUAUGCUGCGCUUCUUCUUCUUGGGCCUAACCGGGUUUGUAUAUUUCAUAGCCUCCCUUAAUUUUGUUUCGUUUUAAUUCUUUAACACUGCUACUGAUGGAUACAUAUUUCGUUCUAAUUAAUUACUUUCUGCCUUAAUAUAUGUUUUUGCUGCAGGGUAGCUAUUUCUCAGAACCUUGCAUUCUUCGGCUUGUAUUAUAGUUCGCCUAUCGUUGUGUGCGUGAUGGGCCUUUUGAUCCCUGCUAUCUCCUUCUUGCUUUCGAUCAUCACUAGGUUUUUCUCUUUAGCUUCAUUUACAUACAUACAUACAUUUCCUCUGAAUUAAUUAUUCUUUUUCUCAAAUCAUCAUGAGCACGGGAUGAUAUCAACCAAUUUGAGAUCUUGAUAACAUAUCUUUGUUUUGAUGAAUUUUUUACAUGAAUACACUAACUACGUACCAUCUAUGCAUGAUCCAAAUCUAUUUCUCUGUUGCACUAUAUUUAUUUUAACAUCACUUACUUGUAUUAUUUUGCUCGUAUAUAUUAAAAUCCAGAUCCGAAAAAAAUUCUUGCUGAACAUAUAAAAUAUCGGCACCAUGGGCCAUUUCUAGUGGCGUUUUAGACCACCUAUUGGAACAAUUUAAUAUUUAUAUAUACUAUAUAGUUCUCCUGUUUUGGGCUUAGCUUUAAUUAUAGAUGUCAACUUGGCUAUGUGUGGACUCAAUAGAGUUGAGUCCGAAGCGACCAUCAUAAAUAUAUUUGGACUACCAUAUGAUAUUUGGACAUGUAGAGUAUGGUUGUAACUCCAAUAAUGAUAAUAAUAAUAACGUAAAUCCCAGGACAACAAAACUAGAUUGGAGAAGCUCAAGCAUCCGAGUCAAAGUAAUUGGCACCUUGAUAUCGAUCAUGGGGGCUAUAUUUGUACAGGUGUACAAAGGCCCAUCCAUGAGAAAAGCUGCUUCUGAUGAUAAACUUGAAGCAAAAAUUAAUCCACCACUCCUCAUUUUCUACUCAACACCAGACCGUUGGGUCCUUGGUUCCACUUUGCUUGCGGCUUCUUCUUUAUCUGUCUGCGUAUGGAACAUUAUUCAGGUAAAAUUAUUAAUUAAUAUCAUAUUUCAUUGAUCUUAUGAUCAAUUCAUUCUCGUUAAAAUCGACCACAGAGACAAAAGCGCACUGAAUUUAAUUGUGUAAUUCGAAUUAAUUUGGUCAGGUGGGAACUAUCAAACAGUAUCCCCAAGUGAUGAAAGUGGUCUCUUUUUAUAGCUUGGCUGGGACUAUUCAGUGUUCAAUUUUCUCGCUGAUUAUGGAGAGAAACAUCAAUGCUUGGAAAUUAAAGCUAAACAUGGAGCUUCUCCUCAUUAUUAUAACAGUAAGUGAUUCAAAUAUAAUUACCAAAAUUAAACCAAUCACUCCAAAGAUAUUAGUGUGAGCACCUCUUUUUUUUUUUUUUUAAAUAUGAACAUGUUAUUAAGUCAUGUGGUUUAAUAGCAUUAAAAUCUAAAUCUAUUAAACUACACAGCUUAAAAUGUGUCCGAAUAAAUUAAAAAAAAGGACGCCUAUAUUAGAAAAUGGCUAUAUAUAGAUAAUAUGAACUUAAUUAAUUCCCUUAUUUUUAAAGACACAUAUGGUUUGUUAAUCGUUACAGGCAAUUUUUGGGAGUGUCAUUCGUUGCACCGUCCAUGUCUCGUGUGCCGAAAUGAAAGGCCAUCUUUACGUGCCCAUGUUCAAACCAUUUGGAAUUGUUUUUGCCACAGCUUUCGGUUUAACCUUCUUUACAAAUUCUCUCCAUUAUGGAAGGUAAUACUUAAUAUAGCAUAUCGUUUAUAAUUUAUCAAGCAGAUGACAUGUCAGAAAAUGUUAUAUAUGGAACGAGUAUACAUAUAUUUUCAGCACAUAUAUAACAUGUUGUAUUAUUUACUGAAUGAAUUAUUUAAAUAAAAUAAAAUUAAGUUUAAUUCUUUCAUAAUUUAAAAAAAUUACUAAAGAUAGCCAUAUACAUAAUGGCUCAACUAAUCCGGAUUCGAGGUGUAGUCACAGUUAAGACUCUUUACCCCUUCCAAAUGGUGUGUUUAGUGGGGAUCAAACCCGAGAGUUCUUCCCACAAACUCAGCCUGCGCUGUCAACUGAGCCACAACCAUUUGGCACAUGAUGGUUAUUCUUAAUCUUGUUGGGUGUCAAACAAAUUAAUCCCUCCAAUUAACAGAUGAAGUGAAAUGCAUGCAUGUACAGUGUGAUAGGAGCAGUUAUAACCGGAAUGGGCUACUAUACUGUAACGUGGGGAAAUAUCAGAGAGGAUGAAUUACUGCGUAAAGGCCAUAAUUCUAAAGAUGCUGCUGACGAUCAAAAGGUCCCUCUCUUGCAAGAAGAUUCGCAAGUCUGAAGAAGCUCUCUGCAAUUUGAACAUGCUCAAAGCAAAACUUUAUUCAAGCUGCUUUUUCGAGUAAGUAUAAAAUUCGAUCUGCUACAUAUAUAUAUUAAAAUUUUGACAUGCACCAGAAUUUAUUAAAUAAUCUAAUACGUUCCUUAACUAUUAUUGAUUAGCUUGUUUUUUCACUUUCUAGUUGGCUUGAGUUGAGGGAGAUUCAUCAAGCCCUGUUGUAUGAUACGGAAGAAACAUGCGUACCACCUGUGUAUCGACCAAAAAUUUUAGAGUUUGGGAAGAUUGGUGUGUUCAAUUGUAGAUAUUUGGGUGAGAGAAAUGAAAGAAUAACAUUGAAGGAUUUUGCAGCAGGUUUUUUUGGUUUGUGCAAGGUCCUCUUGAUGUACAUAUUUUAAUCUUUGUGAAUUGUGAUUGAAUGAAAUUUUUCUCUUUUUUUUUUCUCUCUCUCUCUCUCAGCUAGCUGUUACUUGCUACGUACAACCGCUCUGCCAAACACCUUAGAAUUUUAACAGAGGAUGAAUUAGAAAUUUUGAACUCAAAUUUUCAUUUUGAUAUGUGAUUUGUCUCUCAUUAGGUAGAAGAUAAAUUUUUGUAAGUUUUAAGUGAAGUAUCACACAAUCUCACUAUUUAUUAAAUCAACGUCACAUAUAUAUAUAUAAAGCUGGGACUACAAGAGGUGAUGUGACAUCACCAUUUCUCAUAUUUGUAUAUUCUCUAUUAUCUAACAAAUAGAGAAAUUUUCUUUCAAAUUUGGCUUUUCAUCUUCUCAUAAUUAAUUUGACUGUUAUUACACAAUCGAUAUGUAACAGUUUAUCAAAAGACUCAUUAUUUUCUCUAAUUGAAACCUUCUUGAUCAUAAAUUAAGCAAUAAUUUAUAAACAUUUUUAAUCACUCUUCUCCUCUACCUCACCUUAAUUUAUAAAUAGCAACAAAAAAUAUGAUAUCCCACAUAAACACAACAUAAAAGAACAGAAAAUAGCAAUGGCUCUAAAACAUGUGUUUUUCAUUUUGGCCCUCACUUGCCUGAUCAUGGCAAAUAUUACAAAUGCAACCAGCAUGAGUGAUCGCCUCAACAAUAAUAUGAAACCAUGCUACGAUCUUGCAACAAGACUUGAAGCUAGUGGAGGCCUAACGGAGUGCUGGACCACGUUAAUGGAGCUGAAAUCAUACUCAAAUGAGAUCGUUAUAUUCUUCUUUAAUAGCUAGGCUGAUAUUAGCCCUGACUGUUGCCACGCCAUUGAUAUCAUCACCUAUAAUUGCUGGCUUGCAAUGCUCACCUCUCUCGGAUUCACUGCUGAAGAAGGAAACAUACUGAGAGGCUAUUGUGAUACAUUUUCUGCUCCUUCUCCAGGUGGCCUUGCGGUGAUAUAUCAACCUCAAAUUUCCAAGGUUUUGACUUAGACAAGGUGCAUUUAUAGCACUUCUAUUUCUACCGUGUUAAUUUAGCUGAUGCAAUUUUAAUAAUUAAAAAAGUUUUUUUGAUUUUAGCUUUACUUUAUUUUUUUCAUCUUUUUUGGAAGUCUUGCCUCUUAAUCAAAUAGAAUAAAUCAUUAAAAGUAGAAUGAGGAAAAAAAGAGAAUAAUAAAUUCUUUUUUCAAAGUUGCGUGAAGUGCGAUUCUAUUUCCUAGUUUUAAGAUAAAAUUUAAGAUAUUUAAUAUUAUUUAUUUAUAAUUUUCAACUAUUUAUAUUGAUACCAAUAUUAUAAAUCUAUAAAACACUCCUCCACUCUUAGUCUCCAACAACCAUGUUAUGUAUAUAUAUAUAUUUGGUUGUUUCUUUCGUGGUUGAAAGUUUUCAUAUAAAUUUAUAAAAUGUGAAAGUCUUGAGUGAUACUGAUAUCAUGCCACCAUAUCGUCACCUUACCAUCCAAUUGGAUGACACCACAUAUACACUUAUCACUAAAUUUAAAAUAACCAUAGUACAUUACGUAUAUGCAUGUGGUGGUAUGUAAUUAGAUGAUGAUGUGAUGAUGUGGUGGAGUCCCUACCAUCUAAGACUUUCUCAACUUCUAUUGAGGCCACAACACUCACAAAAUUUUGGUCAAAUACUAUGUUUUUAAGUCCCUCAAAUUAGUACGAAUGAGCAUUUGGUCCAAUAGGAGAAGUUUUGCACUUAUAAUAUUGAGUGUAAGGAUUCGAGCCUCCAUCAGAGCAUUAUGGAAGUUAGUUUCAGUACUCUCUCAAUUAUCAACUAAUUGAGUGAAGAUAAUUUCUCUCUUACGAAAUGUGAGUGGAGCAUUAUAUUAUUUGAUACAAUUGUAAAUAUUGUAAUUGUAAUAUCUGAUGUAUUGUAAUUGUAAUGUCUGAUGUAAUAUCAGUAACAAUCUGUAUAUAACAGAAUUAAAAAAAAAAGUCCUUCAAAUUUGUAAAAUAAUUUCUCAUUUACUUAUUUCAAUAAUUUCUUUAUUAUUUAGACGAGUGAAGUUGCAUAAGACCCCUCAUCAUAAUUUAUCAUUUAUUUAUUAAAAAAAAUCUAAGAAAGUUAGGUUAGAGGGGGUCAACGGUUUGCCGUUGCCACAAGCCGGUGGGUUAAAUUUAUAGCCAGCACAAAUGCAGAAGGUAGCCCAAGGAUUUAAUGCGAUGUCUAAUGUUGUAAAUGAUUCUGUGUAAAAUUAAACUACUGCACGAUAUCUAUAAUAAAAUGAUUCUGUGUAAAAUUAAAGUGCUGGUUCCAUAAUUUCUAUGCCUUUGACGAAUUUUUGCAUCUCGCCACACUGUCUUUUGGGGAAAUAGAAAAGCUCGGUAAUUGAAGUGAUAUGUAUUGGAAAAAAAACAAAAGAAAAAAAUAUUAUGUUAAUUUCCCACUUCCAGAGGCAAUUCCUCGGAUACCAUAAUAUUUCUAUAAAGAGAAAUCAUGUAAAUAACAGAUUAGUCGAUAGCUUGUAAUUUUCGCGUGGUAAAAAUUAAUACAAGCUUUUAUGAUAAAUGUAAAUAAUAAGGUUAUGGUUAUGUUGGAGUUGAUGUAUGAUGGAGUACGAAUCUCAGUCACACACGCAAAGUGAUAAAUAAUAAAAAAAAAUUAUAACUUUAAUCGUGUGAUUAUGAAAAAAUAUUAUACCUUAGAGCAGUUCCAAUAUAAUCGAACCCAAAUAAUAAAUACGUAACAAAUGUAAGUAAUAAUACAAGCACACAUGUCUUAUGUAAUUAAUAAAUGUAAUAUUAGGAAAUUCUUAGUAACUCUAACAAAUUAAAAAAGCCUAAAAUCAAUCCCCAAAAUCCCUUAAUAACCCAAUCAAAAGAAAUGACACUUCUUAUUUUCUUACUAACAAUGACCAUAACUAUUAAUAAAGAGAAUCCGACGGGUUACACAGCUAGCCCUGCAACCUACUUAAAAGUCAAUGAUCAAUCCUUGAUUAGUAAUUAUAUUUACGUACAAGAAUGAAUAUCAACAUGCAGCUGAUAGGACUAGCAAAGUCAGUGAGUUGGAUGUCAAACUUUUCAAGAUUCAAUAAUUUAGAGCAGGUGAUAAUGCAAGCAUGAUGAUCUUCAUUCUUCUACAUAAAAGAUUUCUUUAUCUUACAUUUAAUGUAAGAUACAUCCCCUCACAAAUUGAGCUGGACACUAGGGCGGCAAAGCUAUCGACUGAUUCAAGUAUUGAUGUCUGGAUUAAUACACCGAAAAAAAAUAAUAAUUUGAUUUCUUCUUCCGUUGAAUAUACCUUCCCAUGCAGUAUCUGUUUAGAUGACUACUUGAUUCGCUACAGAAUUUCAAAGUAUCUACCUACAGAAAAGAAUAUGAUGAUGGCUUAGAAUAUCGAGUAAACAUUUGAUACGUGUCAUCAAGAAAGUAAUCUUUCUGCCCCAAAUUCCAGAGCCCGUACUGGCAAUCGGAGCGAGAGAAGAGAUGGGAAAAGUUGGUUUAGCGCCAGUUAUUGGGAUGGUGAUGGCAGAGUGCGCUCAAGUUGGGCUGAUGUUUGCCGGCAAAGCAGCCAUGUCUGAUGGGAUGAGCAACCUGGUCUUCGUUUUUUACUCCAAAGCAUUCGCCUCUCUCGUUCUCCUCCCCGCUUCACUUCUCUUCCA
This 12813-nucleotide long non-coding RNA is filed under the name Citrus x clementina. Its description in RNAcentral is "Citrus clementina (C. clementina) long non-coding RNA (CCLE_LNC003665)". The record is from RNAcentral. Lineage: Eukaryota; Viridiplantae; Streptophyta; Magnoliopsida; Sapindales; Rutaceae.